CACGAAGUAGUUUAAUUAGAAUAUCA
Molecule: transfer RNA, 26 nt
Filed under: Apodemus speciosus (large Japanese field mouse)
Lineage: Eukaryota; Metazoa; Chordata; Mammalia; Rodentia; Muridae
Description: partial tRNA-Pro
Source: RNAcentral